GUUUGAUACAUGGAAGCAGAUACCGGAACUGUGAUGACACCACUAACUGCAAUAUCACAAAAAAAACAAUAAAACAUUAUUUAAUAAGCAACAUAUAGAAGCGGAUUAAGGUUACACACGUCCACGUCUGAGCUGUAGCCUCCAGGAUCGAGGCAAACCUGAGUAGAAGAACCUGAUAGUCCCUCAGGGGAAGCCGCAAUGAUUUGAGGCGACCCGUUAGCUUGAAUCUGAAUCUUAUGGGUGGGCACGCCAGACGAGUGCAUUUUUAGUACACCCACGGAAUUACACUGAAAAAUAUUAGUAGGACUGCAUGUGAAUAGAAAACGUUUCAUUAUAUGAUGGGUUUGUUCCAAACGAUUUAAUAAACAUGUCGAAAAACAAAAA
Long non-coding RNA from Dendroctonus ponderosae (mountain pine beetle), 384 nucleotides. RefSeq lists it as uncharacterized. The record is from RefSeq and is a predicted model, not a curated record. NCBI's taxonomy places the organism in Eukaryota, Metazoa, Arthropoda, Insecta, Coleoptera, Curculionidae. The transcript has 2 exons.